AACGUAGGAGGCGAGCGUUAUCCGGAUUUACUGGGCGUAAAGCGUGUGCAGGCGGUGAGGAAGUCGUGUGUGAAAGCUCCCUGGCUUAACCGGGAGAGGUCAUGCGAUACUCCUGCACUGGAGACAAGGAGAGGCAAGUGGGAUUCCGGGUGUAGUGGUGAAAUGCGUAGAGAUCCGGAGGAACACCAGUGGCGAAGGCGGCUUGCUGGCCUUGAUCUGACGCUCAGACGCGACAGCAUGGGGAGCGAACGGG
RNAcentral lists this ribosomal RNA (253 nucleotides) under uncultured bacterium. Its description in RNAcentral is "partial 16S ribosomal RNA". It matches the Rfam family "Bacterial small subunit ribosomal RNA", at positions 524 to 776 of the family's 1533-position model. The record is from RNAcentral.